This 866-nucleotide long non-coding RNA is filed under the name Selaginella moellendorffii. Its description in RNAcentral is "long non-coding RNA (SMOE_LNC000597)". The record is from RNAcentral. Lineage: Eukaryota; Viridiplantae; Streptophyta; Lycopodiopsida; Selaginellales; Selaginellaceae.
CUAUUGCUCUGAUACCAUGAUGAGAGAAGCCAGGCCUCACGGCCUAGCGCUCUAUAGAGAAUAGAACAAUCCCCUAACAUGGAUCUCACACAGGAUGGGAAAGAAAACUAAGAAAGCCAGGUGGCUGUACGCCACGUUCUAACAGAAGUACGAUUGAAAACUGUCACCUGGACGGAAAUGAACAUAGAAGACCUUCAGGUAGGCAGCUCACGUUUGUCCUGCCAGCACAUUUUAAAACUCAACUGGAAGGCAAGGAAGCAGUAAUAGCUGCAAGCAAAGCUUCACAAGCUGCUGCUCUGUCCGCAAUUUCGUCUGGAACUGGAUCCGCCACUGACAUCGCUGGUGCUGCUGCCGCUGCCGUCGCGAGCUCCAAAAGGUUUGUGCAUUUCCACGAAGCAACUCUUGUUUGUUCCUCACGCCAUUGCACUAGGAAGUAUUGAAAUAAGGCUUGCAAUACAGAGCAAAUUCACAACCAGAGCAAACAACACAGUCCGCAACUGCCAGAUACUCCUGCUAUCAUCGAGGAAUCGGCCAACCCCAUGCAUCCAAACAUCGCUCACUACAGCUGCAUCAUCGAUCUCCUCAGCUGCACCGCACACCCUUGUGGCCAAGGAGCUCAAGAAGGGAAACAAUGCAAGCAAAUUGUUUGUGGCAUGGAAUAGCAAAAUGUAAAGUAAGUUUUCAAAUCAAGAUAUUUACAAGAUUCGGUCCAAUGAACUUCAAGGAAGCUUCCCGAACCAAAACUCUAUAGGCCAUUGCAAGCGUGCCAGCUUUCAGAAAUACGUGCCAGCUUGGUCCUACCGAUCAGCGUGAGGCCUCCGUAAAAGAAUGACUUUGUAAAAGUCCACCACCGUGAUCGUGAUGGA